RNAcentral lists this ribosomal RNA (468 nucleotides) under uncultured bacterium. Its description in RNAcentral is "partial 16S ribosomal RNA". It matches the Rfam family "Bacterial small subunit ribosomal RNA", at positions 28 to 507 of the family's 1533-position model. The record is from RNAcentral.
GACGAACGCUGGCGGCGUGCUUAACACAUGCAAGUCGAACGGAAAGGCCCUGCUUUUGUGGGGUGCUCGAGUGGCGAACGGGUGAGUAACACGUGAGUAACCUGCCCUUGACUUUGGGAUAACUUCAGGAAACUGGGGCUAAUACCGGAUAGGAGCUCCUGCUGCAUGGUGGGGGUUGGAAAGUUUCGGCGGCUGGGGAUGGACUCGCGGCUUAUCAGCUUGUUGGUGGGGUAGUGGCUUACCAAGGCUUUGACGGGUAGCCGGCCCGAGAGGGUGACCGGCCACAUUGGGACUGAGAUACGGCCCAGACUCCUACGGGAGGCAGCAGUGGGGAAUAUUGCACAAUGGGCGGAAGCCUGAUGCAGCAACGCCGCGUGCGGGAUGACGGCCUUCGGGUUGUAAACCGCUUUCGCCUGUGACGAAGCGUGAGUGACGGUAAUGGGUAAAGAAGCACCGGCUAACUACGUG